RNAcentral lists this long non-coding RNA (398 nucleotides) under Sus scrofa (pig). Its description in RNAcentral is "lncRNA (ENSSSCG00005039397.1)". Lineage: Eukaryota; Metazoa; Chordata; Mammalia; Artiodactyla; Suidae. The record is from RNAcentral.
GGAGAGCAAGGCCAGGAGGAAGCGGUCGCCCUCCCUCCCCUGGAGCGUCCAGCCGGUGACAGAGAAGCUUCCGGUGCCCUCCGUGGAGUCUGUGGCUGGGGACCAGCUGCCCCCCGUACCACUUCUGUCGUCAAAGUCAUCGGGAAAAAGCUUCCUCCCUGCUGUGCCUGCGGCCUCGAAGAUAAGACCCAGCCUCAGUUUUCACGCAGAUGAGACCACGCACCACGCGCCGGAGGUCAGCUUCACCUUCCCCAGCGCCACCUGGCAGAGCAGCACAGGCCCCAGCAGGGCGCCCCUCCGGCCCCGGGACAUCCGAGGGUCUACAGACAGCGGAGGCCGACGGCACAGCCCACUGCCCCCUGGCCACCCCCGCAAGCACCAGGGUGGCAGCGCCCAGU